RNAcentral lists this ribosomal RNA (611 nucleotides) under uncultured bacterium. Its description in RNAcentral is "bacterial SSU rRNA". It matches the Rfam family "Bacterial small subunit ribosomal RNA", at positions 52 to 650 of the family's 1533-position model. The record is from RNAcentral.
UAUAAUGCAGUCGAGCGAGAACCAGUCCUUCGGGACUGGGGAAAGCGGCGAACGGGUGAGUAACACGUGGGUAAUCUGCCCUCGGCACUGGGGUAGCCCGGGGAAACCCGGAUUAAUACCGGAUAGCCUUUCGAGCCUUCGGGCUCGUCAGAAAAGGUGGCUUCGGCUUCCGGCUGAGGAUGAGCCCGCGGCGGAUUAGCUUGUUGGUGAGGUAAUGGCUCACCAAGGCUCCGAUCUGUAGCUGGUCUGAGAGGACGAUCAGCCACACUGGGACUGAGACACGGCCCAGACUCCUACGGGAGGCAGCAGUAGGGAAUCUUGCGCAAUGGGCGAAAGCCUGACGCAGCGACGCCGCGUGCGGGAAGAAGGCCUUCGGGUUGUAAACCGCUUUCAGGAGGGACGAAGCCACCCGGGUUAAUAGCCCAGAGGGUGACGGUACCUCCAGAAGAAGCCCCGGCUAACUACGUGCCAGCAGCCGCGGUAAUACGUAGGGGGCAAGCGUUGUCCGGAUUUAUUGGGCGUAAAGAGCGUGUAGGCGGCCAGAUAGGUCAGCUGUGAAAACUCGAGGCCCAACCUCGAGAUGUCGGCUGAAACCAUCUGGCUAGAGUCCG